RNAcentral lists this ribosomal RNA (440 nucleotides) under uncultured bacterium. Its description in RNAcentral is "partial 16S ribosomal RNA". It matches the Rfam family "Bacterial small subunit ribosomal RNA", at positions 338 to 795 of the family's 1533-position model. The record is from RNAcentral.
CCUACGGGAGGCAGCAGUGGGGAAUAUUGCACAAUGGGGGAAACCCUGAUGCAGCGACGCCGCGUGAGUGAAGAAGUAAUUCGUUAUGUAAAGCUCUAUCAGCAGGGAAGAAAAUGACGGUACCUGAGUAAGAAGCCCCGGCUAACUACGUGCCAGCAGCCGCGGUAAUACGGAGGGGGCAAGCGUUAUCCGGAUUUACCGGGUGUAAAGGGAGCGUAGACGGCAGUGCAAGUCUGGAGUGAAAGGCGGGGGCUCAACCCCCGGACUGCUCUGGAAACUGUACGGCUUGAGUGCAGGAGAGGGAAGUGGAAUUCCUGGUGUAGCGGUGAAAUGCGUAGAUAUUAGGAGGAACACCAAUGGCGAAGGCAGCCUGCUGGGCUUUUACUGACGCUGAGGCUCGAAAGUGUGGGGAGCAAACAGGAUUAGAUACCCCAGUAGUC